GGGGACUCAGCCUCGCGUGAAGAGUGGGAAAGCAUCGCACACCUUCUGCCUGGGUGGCCUCAACCUCUUCCAAUAGCAGUUAUCGAAUACUUCCUGUCUGGCAGACUGUCUGGUCAAAUGGACGCGGAGAGCAGCUUCCAGUAAUGGAGCU
Long non-coding RNA from Myotis lucifugus (little brown bat), 151 nucleotides. RefSeq lists it as uncharacterized. The transcript has 3 exons. Lineage: Eukaryota; Metazoa; Chordata; Mammalia; Chiroptera; Vespertilionidae. The record is from RefSeq and is a predicted model, not a curated record.